UUAAAUUGAAGAGUUUGAUCAUGGCUCAGAUUGAACGCUGGCGGCAGGCCUAACACAUGCAAGUCGAACGGUAACAGGAAACAGCUUGCUGUUUCGCUGACGAGUGGCGGACGGGUGAGUAAUGUCUGGGAAACUGCCCGAUGGAGGGGGAUAACUACUGGAAACGGUAGCUAAUACCGCAUAACGUCGCAAGA
This 194-nucleotide ribosomal RNA is filed under the name Escherichia coli. RNAcentral's name for it is "partial 16S ribosomal RNA". It matches the Rfam family "Bacterial small subunit ribosomal RNA", at positions 1 to 186 of the family's 1533-position model. The record is from RNAcentral. Lineage: Bacteria; Pseudomonadati; Pseudomonadota; Gammaproteobacteria; Enterobacterales; Enterobacteriaceae.